CCGCGCCGGAUAGUGGCCGGCGUGGCACGCCGCACUCACCCGCUCGCGCACACCGGAACCGGAAGCGCGCGUGGGAGGACACUGGGCAUGGGGAAGGUGGUGGGAUGCAGAUAGGGAGGGGAGGGGGAGGUGCCCCGUGUGUGCCCCCUUCUGCCUCCCCGUGUGCGAGAAGCUGCGGGGACACCGUGGUCGUUCGUGUCUGGGAGGAGGAAGAGAAGGAGGAGGAAGAGGAGGAGAGAGUCCUGCGCUGUGCCGAGUGAUCGGCCACUCGCCUCGCCCGCGCUCGGCUCCCCUCUCUUCACGACGCCACGAACACACCCGCCGUCCCUCUGACGCUGUCCUCUCCGUGUCAAUGCUGCUGUUCCUGCUAUCACUUCAGCCAUCGAUGCUGUCUCUCCCCCUGAUUCUCCCACUUUCAGGGAUAUCACUCCUGCGCUCUGGCCCAGUCUCUCCGGCCCGUCGAUGAUAUCACCGAUGCUAUCACUACCACUGUUAAUGGUGUCUCCCGCUGCUCAUCCCGAUUAUCAGUCCCAUCACUGCUGUGCUCCCUCCCACUGUCUCUCCUUCUCUGUCACUACCGCUCUCUCCCACUGUCGAUAUCACUGCUGCGCUCUGCCAGUCUCUCCCGCUGUCGAUGAUAUCACCGCUGCUAUCACUUCUGCUGCCUCCCACUGCUUCUCCACUCUCCGUGCAGUCCCCACUACUAUCUCUCAACGCCGUCUCCUGCAGCCUGGCGCUGCAGUGUGCAGGAGCAGUGUCUCUGUCUCGACGCGUUCAUCUCAACGCUGCCCCGUGUGUCUGGUGUCUCGAGAUCGGCCAUUUUAUCACUCCCUCCCUCACCCGCUCGUGCCUGUCCUUCAGUCGACUCAAACGUUGGGGCCGAUUUGAUUGUAGAUCUUGGUCGCCUCUAUACGCACCCGCGGCUCAGCAGGAGAAACGUCAAACCACAUUCCCGCAAGAGACACGAGCCCAGCGCUGCGACACCGGCCGCUCGUGAUCGCGACCGUGGCCGAGGUCCGCAACCGCAUGUCACCCGCGACCUCCGCACCGGUGCCCCCCCGUCGUCGUCUCCAUGCCGGCUGUGGCAGGGUUCUCGUGGCCCUCCGCUGCAGCCCGUCGUCGUGGCCCCGGCGCGCGCUGUCUCGGACUCACGCGACAUUGCACCACGACGAUCCCACGCACAACUGCGGUCUCUGUGCUGCUCCCCACCCACACCCACCCCUCCCCUCCCUCCCGCCUCUGCACACUCCUUGCUGCAUGAUACCUCCGCUCAGCCGCUGCCCCCAUCCACACCUCUCCCCACUACCACCACCUCCUCUCCCCACAACCCCCCCACCCCCUUGCUCCCGUGCAGCGCGAGAGCCGUGCCGCAACUUGCAUGGUGCCCUGUGGCUGCGUGGCCGGCCACCCCGUAGAGAAUCCAGUCCGGGUUUUUGUUUGGCUACGGUCCUGCAUCGUCUCCGAGCCGUCUCUGGACGGUGUCCGAAGAAUGGGCGGCACGGAGAUGUCUCGGUGUGUCGGUGCCUCGUGCGGCUGGCGGAGCCCAACCAAGCUCGGCCCGGCGUGCACAUUAAUCCAUAACAAACGCCUAUUUAUAUUUAAGCUCGAAACAAGUUACCGUUCUGUAUAGUCUGACGGAGGGUAGUCUCUGGAAGGAAAACAAUUUUUGCGUGAUUUGUAGGACUUUAAAAAUACUGGAAAAUAUUUGUGUUGAAAUAUUAUUGUACAAUACCAUAACUGUGGAUAGGUGUACACAAGUUUAUUGCGAAUGCGUGUGUGUUUAGUUCCCAGUCGUAUCCGAGUGGCGCCUUCGUCACUUUAAUCAAGACUCACGUGUUGCGUCUGUUAACGUCUAAUGCGUUUUAAUUGUACCUUCUGAAGCAGCGUAAUUUUACGGUUGUGGCUUUACCCGGGGGCGGCACACGACCCGGGUAGAGGAUGGAACUGAGUGAAGCCGAGAUCGCCGACGCAGAGAAGUGAACACGACGUCAGCAAGGCACCCGGUGAAGCAACGGGGGUGAGGCUAGGGUCAGGACUAGGGUUGGUGUCUGGUCGGCUAAUUUGAUUCGGGUUCAAGUCAGGCUCAUUGUGAGGCCUUGUACGAGUGCCUGGUUGGAUAGUUGGUGAGGGUUAUCGCGAGAGUUGGCGUGAAUUGAAGGCCGGGUGCUAGUGUUUGGUUGGUUAGGAGAAGGGGUAAUGCUCGUGUUGUGUCUGGGAAUUGGUUAGGGGUAGAGUUAAGGUGAGCCAGAGGUUGAAUACUAUUGCCUGGUUGGCUAGAUGGCUAGGUUCAGAGGUAGGGCUAGUACUAGUGUCUGGUUGGUUAAGGCGAGCAUGUCUUUAAUUAGCUGGUGAGCCUCACCCCCAAGCUGUUGGCCCAUCCUUCCCAUCGUUCAUUUCGAUUCGAUAAGUUCUGUGGCUGGAUUCCAUUGGCGGCGGCCCGCCAUUGCGUCCGAAUCAUCGACGGUGCCCCUCUCUCGUUCGCUCGCCGUAGACGGAACCCCCCUUACUCCGCACUCCUUGCGUUCCCGCAAGCGCUUCUCUGUACUACGAGUUCCGGCGGUGGUUGGGGGGGGGGACCCGACUCACUCGCACCAACCACGUGGUAAACCUCGCCAUCCCCUGGCUCUGAGCGACGACCCCCCCUCCUCCCCAACUCAAACAACGACCCGUCCGCUACCCCCUUCUCACCGCGCUCACCACUCGUAACGUAAUGGCAUAUACAUAUAUAUACUGUAUAUUACGUGAAUGUAGAGAGACUUAAGUUAUAAUGUGAAAGCUCUAAUGUUGGGGGGGUGGGAGGGGGUGUUGCAAUGAGAGAGUCUGUGCGGGCUGGCGGGACCGCGGUGCGAUGGGGCUGGGAAAGAGGCGAACACCUUUGGACGACGAUGAGGAUUUUGUAAAAAAUGUAUGGUUCGGCACUGCCUGCAAAAUAAAUUAAGAAUAAACGUUU
Molecule: long non-coding RNA, 2950 nt
Organism: Lethenteron reissneri (Far Eastern brook lamprey)
Lineage: Eukaryota; Metazoa; Chordata; Hyperoartia; Petromyzontiformes; Petromyzontidae
Source: RefSeq, a predicted model, not a curated record